Molecule: small nuclear RNA, 97 nt
Organism: Bison bison bison
Lineage: Eukaryota; Metazoa; Chordata; Mammalia; Artiodactyla; Bovidae
Source: Ensembl
GAGCUCACUUUGGCAGCACAUAUACUAAAAUUAAAACGAUACAGAGAAGAUUAGCGUGGCCCCUGUGCAAGGAUGACGUGAAGAGUUCCAUAUUUAA